This 933-nucleotide long non-coding RNA is filed under the name Bemisia tabaci. RNAcentral's name for it is "lncRNA ENSSSA2NGG007303". The record is from RNAcentral. Lineage: Eukaryota; Metazoa; Arthropoda; Insecta; Hemiptera; Aleyrodidae.
ACAAAUCUAAAUUGUAGAUAGAGAUUGCAAUAAUACUUUUGGCAAUAAAGCUGGUAAUACUUCCAAGCUUUGUUUUCAGCAAAAUUGCUGACAUUUAUUAUAAACUUUAAAUUAUUUGGAAAAUAUUAAGUUAAAAAUGAAAUCUAACACACGAAGCCUAAAAUGUCUUUCAUGCUAGCACUUGGUACACAAUAGUUUGAUGCCCAAUCUGACAUAUAUACGUGACUUGUGUAGGCUAAAACUGCAAAUAUUCCCUUGUCAAUACCUGACAUUAGAAGAAAAUUCAGCAUUAGAUGAUUUCUGCAGAAUAUACACUAAAAGAAAAGUGAUGUGACCAUAUACAUAAAGCGUUCUAAUUUUAGUAGGAAUUGCAAAGCAUGGAUAACCCCAUUUUAGUAAUAUCAAGCGAUGAAGAAUCGAACAGUGGUUCUAGUCCACCUAACAUACCGACAAUUGAUGAUUACCACAAGGAACUGAAUUUUUAUGACAAGGAAAGAAGUGGACCCUCUUGGAAUGCUGAGAUAGAGGACUUCGCCAGCAGCACCCAUAAUCGAAAUGCCCAUGAUCUUUCGGAGAGCGAUUCUGAUGGGCAGUCCCAAAUUAUGAGCUACCUUUCUCAGAAGAAAUCUCAGCCCCAAAAGGGUAAAAGACAGCGAAAAAACGUGAGUGAAGCAGAGCUGCUAAAAAAGAAAAAAAAAGAAGAAAAGAAGAAAGCAUUGAAUGAGGAAAGACGGAGAAAAAAAGAAGAAGAAGCCAAGCGGAAAGCUGAUAAAAAAGCAGCCUCCGAAUUGCUGAAGAAAUGAAACCUGGAGAGUGUAUGAAGGUUUGUUAGCUCCUCUCAUUUGAACUCCACCUUCAAUUCGUUUCUUAAUUUAAAUCGUAGUAUCUUUACUUAACCAUUCAUGAGAAAAGAGACCUCCCAGCACUAAGGCA